CAGGUACAGCGGGAAGGCCAGGCGGCGACGCCGAGCGGAACCCGAAAACCUGUCUCAGUUCGGAUCGGAGUCUGCAACCCGACUCCGUGAAGCUGGAUUCGCUAGUAAUCGCGCAUCAGCCAUGGCGCGGUGAAUAUGUUCCCGGGCCUUGUACACACCGCCCGUCAAGCCAUGGAAGCCGGGGGUGCCUGAAGCGUGCAGCCGCAAGGAGCGCCCUAAGGUAAAACCGGUGACUGGGGCUAAGUCGUAACAAGGUAUC
Molecule: ribosomal RNA, 259 nt
Filed under: uncultured bacterium
Lineage: Bacteria
Description: partial 16S ribosomal RNA
Rfam family: Bacterial small subunit ribosomal RNA
Source: RNAcentral